Molecule: long non-coding RNA, 519 nt
Organism: Octodon degus (degu)
Lineage: Eukaryota; Metazoa; Chordata; Mammalia; Rodentia; Octodontidae
Exons: 4
Source: RefSeq, a predicted model, not a curated record
CGACUUUGUCCUAAUCAAAACCUGUUUUCAGAAAGAGAUCUGCCACCAGCCAUUAUCAGCUUGGUGCACAAACCUGUUGCCCUCUGGGUGGAGAAUCUGUUUUUCUAGCCGCUGGUGCUCACCAGUGACCACCUAGGUAGACGAGAGAUGGAGGACACAGUCUGUGUAACCAUCAAAGCUGAAGUAAAGAAUCUCUGCAGCUUCCUCAGCAUUUCUUAAAAGGCUUGGAGGAUGCCAGUCACAGAGUAAGAAAUCUAAGGAGCAGAAAACCCACAAUAUCAACAGAAGCCCAAACAAACCAUGUCCAUGGGAGCAAGAGAGAAGGAGGGGCUAUCACAUGAUCUUGUCCACAGCCAGAGAGGUCCUCACCUCUCCACCUCUUCCUCUGAUUCAAGCUCCAUCUGUUUCUCACGUUUGCGAGUGAUGAGCAGUGGCAGAAAGAGAUGAAGACAGAUCUGCAGAGACAAAGACAAUGUUUGUGCGUGAAUUCAGCAAAACAAUCACAAACCAUGAAGUCAA